CCUCACGCGAGCUCGAGGCCUCGCGAGGCUUCAGGUCGACCCCUGCCUCUGAGCCCGAGAUGGGCCUCCGGGCGCAGCUGCCGGCACUUAACACAGAGCAGUCGAUAAGCUGCUCGCGUGAACGGUCUCUACCCGACAAAGCAGCGGACGGGAGCCCUCGUCGUCGGGCUGCGUCUGGAAGGACCACGGUGACGGAAGCGUGGAGAGCUCCGGAGCUCUGCCUUCUGGCGUCUGCCCCAAGUAUCGGUACUGAAUGUCAUACAUGGCGUGCAAGUGAUGGCAUAGUAAUGAUCUUGCGCUUAGUUUUCCUUUCUGUUGAUGGUGGGAGAAACAGAACAGAGGAAUUUAGCCUGCUAGACGUGACGCUGGACACUGAACAGAAAAUAGCAUGCAGAGCAGUUUGGGUGAAUCAAGGUAGGUGUGAAUGGAAAAUGGAGAGGAAGUUCUGACUUUGAGGCAGUUCAUGCUUGAUGUCAUCAGUGACUGCUUACCUUGAAAAUGAAAAUGUUUUUAAUUUGUGUUGUGGACUUCACGUGUUAAUUUUUAGGGUGAAGAAAAAACUUAACCCACAAAGGUGUGUCUUCUAGUAAUGGCAGUAGUUAACCUGUCAGUUGAAAGAAUGUAACCUUCCAUUUCUCCUUUUCAUGACAUAAAGAUAAUCUCAUCUGAGGGCAUUUAUGUGAAGAAAUAACAGCAUGGCAUGGUGAAACUACUGGCUCAUUAAUCCUGGCAUCUACUUCCUACAGGGUUCCUUGAUUAGUUAGAUUCAUUCAUCGGGCAUUUCAGAGUUUUUGAUUUGUCACCAUUGGCUAGGUUCACUGAGUUCAGACUAAAUUGAGCCAGAAGCAAUGUUUAUUAGUAAUUUUGUAGUACAGGCUACCCUAAUAAUUCAACCCAAAUAUCUCAUCUGAAAAAAUAUCCAUUCACCCUCUCUUCUAAUGUGGGUUGCAGCUGUGUUCGUAGGGAAUUGAAAGAACACAAGUGAUUGG
Molecule: long non-coding RNA, 989 nt
Filed under: Capra hircus (goat)
Lineage: Eukaryota; Metazoa; Chordata; Mammalia; Artiodactyla; Bovidae
Description: lncRNA (ENSCHIG00000001127.1)
Source: RNAcentral